GACGAACGCUGGCGGCGUGCUUAACACAUGCAAGUCGAGCGGUAAGGCCCUUUCGGGGGUACACGAGCGGCGAACGGGUGAGUAACACGUGGGUGACCUGCCCUCAGCUCUGGGAUAAGCCUGGGAAACCGGGUCUAAUACUGGAUAUGACUCCAUGACGCAUGUUGUGGGGUGGAAAGCCUUGUGCGGCUGAGGAUGGGCCCGCGGCCUAUCAGCUUGUUGGUGGGGUGANGGCCUACCAAGGCGACGACGGGUAGCCGGCCUGAGAGGGCGACCGGCCACACUGGGACUGAGACACGGGCCCAGACUCCUACGGGAGGCAGCAGUGGGGAAUCUUGCGCAAUGGGCGAAAGCCUGACGCAGCGACGCCGCGUGAGGGAUGACGGCCUGGUGU
RNAcentral lists this ribosomal RNA (394 nucleotides) under uncultured bacterium. RNAcentral describes it as "bacterial SSU rRNA". It matches the Rfam family "Bacterial small subunit ribosomal RNA", at positions 28 to 422 of the family's 1533-position model. The record is from RNAcentral.